RNAcentral lists this ribosomal RNA (381 nucleotides) under uncultured bacterium. RNAcentral's name for it is "bacterial SSU rRNA". It matches the Rfam family "Bacterial small subunit ribosomal RNA", at positions 524 to 904 of the family's 1533-position model. The record is from RNAcentral.
UACGAAGGGGGCUAGCGUUGCUCGGAAUCACUGGGCGUAAAGGGUGCGUAGGCGGGUCUUUAAGUCAGGGGUGAAAUCCUGGAGCUCAACUCCAGAACUGCCUUUGAUACUGAAGAUCUUGAGUUCGGGAGAGGUGAGUGGAACUGCGAGUGUAGAGGUGAAAUUCGUAGAUAUUCGCAAGAACACCAGUGGCGAAGGCGGCUCACUGGCCCGAUACUGACGCUGAGGCACGAAAGCGUGGGGGAGCAAACAGGAUUAGAUACCCUGGUAGUCCACGCCGUAUACGAUGAAUGCCAGCCGUUAGUGGGUUUACUCACUAGUGGCGCAGCUAACGCUUUAAGCAUUCCGCCUGGGGAGUACGGUCGCAAGAUUAAAACUCAA